RNAcentral lists this ribosomal RNA (189 nucleotides) under uncultured bacterium. RNAcentral describes it as "partial 16S ribosomal RNA". It matches the Rfam family "Bacterial small subunit ribosomal RNA", at positions 338 to 524 of the family's 1533-position model. The record is from RNAcentral.
UUUACGGGAGGCAGCAGUGAGGAAUAUUGGACAAUGGAGGUAACUCUGAUCCAGCCAUGCCGCGUGCAGGAAGACGGCCCUAUGGGUUGUAAACUGCUUUUAUAUAGGAAGAAACCUUUUCACGUGUGAGAAGCUGACGGUACUAUAAGAAUAAGGACCGGCUAACUCCGUGCCAGCAGCCGCGGUAAU